This 1075-nucleotide ribosomal RNA is filed under the name Cladocroce sp. 1 JV-2020. RNAcentral's name for it is "partial large subunit ribosomal RNA". It matches the Rfam family "Eukaryotic large subunit ribosomal RNA", at positions 151 to 941 of the family's 3401-position model. The record is from RNAcentral. Lineage: Eukaryota; Metazoa; Porifera; Demospongiae; Haplosclerida; Chalinidae.
GGAGAGGCAGACUGUCCUGAUCCACUGCUUUCGAGCCCGAAGUUGACUUUGAACGGCACGCCAAAGAGGGUGACAGCCCCGUAGGGCCUGGAAAUCGAGAGCAGCAGGACGAGGGUCUGUACUCAUAGAGUCGGGUUGUUUGGGAAUGCAGCCCCAAGAGGGUGGUAGACUCCAUCCAAGGCUAAAUACAGGCGCGAGACCGAUAGCUGACAAGUACCGUGAGGGAAAGGUGAAAAGCACUUUGAAGAGAGAGUUCAAUAGACCGUGAAACCGUUGGGAGGGAAGCUCAGGGUGUCGAGGUUGUCGUGCUCUGUUUGGGUUCAACUGGUGGUAGUUGGGUUGCCAGCUGCUGCCGGUGCACUCUCAUGCAGAGUUGGACCGUCAGUUGGGAAGACAUCAGGACCUGCAAUGAUCGAUGGAUGGGAGGUAAGCUUUGUGGUUCCCUCGGGUGCCCAGAGUGACGUAUAGCCGUUCCGUCGUGGUUCUGAUUGUCUUUCAGGUGUGUUUGGAUGACUGAUCGUCCAAAAUUGGAAGGUGCAGUCUCCCUCUCAUGGGAGGUCGAGCCGUUCUUGAGGUUGCGCCUCAAUGUGGUCACGUGUUCCGUUCCCUCCCCACUAUACUUCGGUGUGUGGGGCUAGGGUGCGGCACGAGCUGCAUUGAGUGUGUCCCAUCAGGAUCGUGUUCCAAGUUCUGUGCCUAGGUGACUGGCGAAGAGUCGUUACUCUGUGCCCCGUCUUGAAACACGGACCAAGGAGUGCAAGAGAUGCGCGAGUCGGAAGGGUUGUGUUGGGGUCAUUCCUUCGGGUUUGGCCUUGCCUGAGAGACCCAUGUAUCUGGAACGGGCGAAGUGAGAGCAAUUCAUGGGUGCGAGAGCCCCUUGGGGCACAUCGCUGGCCGAGCCGUAUGGUCACGCUGUGACCGGUUUCGAGUGCGAGCGUAUCUGUUGCGACCCGAAAGAUGGUGAACUAUGCCUGAGGAGGGUGAAGCCAGAGGAAACUCUGGUGGAGGCCCGUAGCGGUUCUGACGUGCAAAUCGAUCGUCGCACUUGGGUAUAGGGCGAAAGACUAAUCGAACC